AAGAUGCUCCAGAGGCUCCAAAGGGGACAUCUCAAUGGACAAUCUUGGACUAGCCUGAGGAGAUUAUCAGAGGGAAAAAGUUUCCUUCAUGUCCCCUGUGUCACUUCAGACAAGAAUCUGC
This is a long non-coding RNA of Manacus vitellinus (golden-collared manakin), 121 nucleotides long. RefSeq lists it as uncharacterized. Lineage: Eukaryota; Metazoa; Chordata; Aves; Passeriformes; Pipridae. The record is from RefSeq and is a predicted model, not a curated record. The transcript has 3 exons.